Molecule: long non-coding RNA, 1313 nt
Filed under: Homo sapiens (human)
Lineage: Eukaryota; Metazoa; Chordata; Mammalia; Primates; Hominidae
Description: HSALNT0314508
Source: RNAcentral
UCCACAGGUGAACAUAGCUUUGAAAUAAGGGCUAAAUGCAGCCAGGACCAGUCUGUGGCAAGGAAAUUUCUCUCCUUCUGCUGAGUUGCAGAAAAAGAGGGAUGCAAGUGGGGAAGGAUGACAAGGAGUUUCAACUGUAUAAAUGUUUAAUUUCUCCAGCUGUUUGAUGCUUGCCUCUCCUGUCAAUGAUGAGCACACUGCGGGUUGGGAGAAGAACAAUCACCAAAAAUGCAGAGUGGGGAGCGGGCCUGAGUGUUGGACCUCUCCUUAAACAAACCUUCCUGCAGCCUCCAGGUCACCAUCCUUGUCACCUCUACUGCCAGAGACAUCGAGUGCCUUGAAGUCCUGGGCUUUCCGGGGAUUCUGUGGGCUUCCAGGACUGUGCUGCCGUGCUUCCUCUCCUUUAAAGCAAGUCUUCUAUCAUCACCAGCGAGGGGCCAUGGAAGGAGCAGACUAGACUGCUCAAUCUGCUGUCUCCACCUGGCGGACCUACCAUGUGAUUCACUUACAGACAGUUGGUUUGUUUUUGUUUUUUGUUUCUCUUUUUGACACUGAGUUUCGCUCUUGUUGCCCAAGCCGGAGUGCAGUGGCUCGAUCUCGGCUCACCACAACCUCUACCUCCCGGGUUCAAGUGAUUCUCCUGCCUCAGCCACCCGAGUAGGUGGGAUUACAGGAACCCACCACCACACCUGGCUGAUUUUCUACUUUUAGUAAAGAUGGGGUUUCUCUAUGUUGAUCAGGCUGGUCUGAAACUACCGACUUCAGGACCGCCUGCCUCGGCCUUCCAAAGUGCGGGGAUUACUGGCAUGAGCCACUGCCCCUGGUCAAGAAUUGGUUUUUAAUGCUUCCUUCCUCCAUACAACAGAAUUCUUUUCAAUAAUGAUCAUUAAACAAAAGGAAUAAUAAUAAUGUCCAGAAAAGAACUGCUGUAGAUAGUGAAAAUUUUUUUAUUGAACUUUGUAUAUGUAAUCAUGCUGGCACAUAUGUUAAAAAAAGGUAAAAAGUCAUGGAUUAAUUUUUUUAAUCAUAAUUUUUAAAGGGGAUUAUUUUACUGCAGUUCACACACUGUUUCAUUGUUUUACAUUUUAAACAGAAAUAGCUGGGCGGAUCACCUGAGGCCAGGAGUUUGAGACUAGCCUGGCCAACAUGGUGAAACCCCGUCUCUAUGAAAAAUACAAAAAUUAGCCAGGCGUGGUGGCACAUAUCUGUAGUCCCAGCUACUUGGGAGGCUGAGGAGAAGAAUCGCUUGAACCGGGGAGGCAGAGGUUGCAAUGAGCUGAGAUCGCACCACUGCACUCCAGCCUGGGUGACAG